This 253-nucleotide ribosomal RNA is filed under the name uncultured bacterium. RNAcentral's name for it is "partial 16S ribosomal RNA". It matches the Rfam family "Bacterial small subunit ribosomal RNA", at positions 524 to 776 of the family's 1533-position model. The record is from RNAcentral.
UACGGAGGGGGCUAGCGUUGUUCGGAAUUACUGGGCGUAAAGCGCGCGUAGGCGGACCUGCAAGUCGGGGGUGAAAGCCCGAGGCUCAACCUCGGAACUGCCUUCGAUACUGCGGGUCUCGAGUCCGGGAGAGGUGAGUGGAAUUCCCAGUGUAGAGGUGAAAUUCGUAGAUAUUAGGAAGAACACCAGUGGCGAAGGCGGCUCUCUGGAACGCAACUGACGCUGAGACGCGAAAGCGUGGGGAGCAAACAGG